RNAcentral lists this ribosomal RNA (245 nucleotides) under uncultured bacterium. RNAcentral describes it as "partial 16S ribosomal RNA". It matches the Rfam family "Bacterial small subunit ribosomal RNA", at positions 112 to 353 of the family's 1533-position model. The record is from RNAcentral.
AACACGUGGGUAACCUGCCUUAUAGUGGGGGAUAGCCUUUCGAAAGGAAGAUUAAUACCGCAUAAGAUUGUAGUAUCGCAUGAUAUAGCAAUUAAAGGAGCAAUCCGCUAUAAGAUGGACCCGCGUCGCAUUAGCUAGUUGGUGAGGUAAUGGCUCACCAAGGCGACGAUGCGUAGCCGACCUGAGAGGGUGAUCGGCCACAUUGGGACUGAGACACGGCCCAGACUCCUACGGGAGGCAGCAUG